UUUACUUUUUUUCACUUUAGUACCCUGUGGUUUAAAGUGUAUCCAGUACCCUGUUGUAGUGUGGUUUUGCACUUUUUCACUUUAGUACCCUGUGGUUUAAAGUGUAUCAAGUCAGUACCAUGUGGUUUCGCAUUUUCUGACUUUAGUACCAUGUGGUUUCAUACUUUCUCACUUUAGUGCCUUGUAGUUUAAAAACCACUGUGUACUAACUUGAUACAAAAAUAAAACCACAGUGUACUAACUUGAUAAAAAAAUAAAACCACAGAGUACUAACUUGAUACACUUUAAACCACAGGGGUACUAAAGUGAGAAAGUGCGAAACCAAGGGUACUAACUUGAUACACUUUAAACCACAUGAUAAUAAAAUAAAAAAGUAUGAAACCACAAGGGAGUUUUUUAAAGUUUUUCCUUUUUUUAAGAAAAAAACCAGUGGUGCAAUUAUUUGCUACUAAUGUGUAAUAC
This 462-nucleotide long non-coding RNA is filed under the name Ananas comosus (pineapple). RNAcentral's name for it is "long non-coding RNA (ACOM_LNC037610)". The record is from RNAcentral. Lineage: Eukaryota; Viridiplantae; Streptophyta; Magnoliopsida; Poales; Bromeliaceae.